GACCGUGUAGCUCAGUUGGAAGAGCAUUGGGCUGGUAUUCCAAAGGUCGUAGGUUCGAAUCCCACCGUGGCCG
This is a non-coding RNA of Paramuricea clavata, 73 nucleotides long. Lineage: Eukaryota; Metazoa; Cnidaria; Anthozoa; Malacalcyonacea; Plexauridae. The record is from the annotation of a GenBank genome assembly.